This 898-nucleotide ribosomal RNA is filed under the name human gut metagenome. RNAcentral's name for it is "bacterial SSU rRNA". It matches the Rfam family "Bacterial small subunit ribosomal RNA", at positions 8 to 893 of the family's 1533-position model. The record is from RNAcentral.
AGAGUUUGAUCCUGGCUCAGGAUGAACGCUGGCGGCAUGCCUAAUACAUGCAAGUCGAACGAGAGGAAGGAAAGCUUGCUUUCCUAAAUCUAGUGGCGAACGGGUGAGUAACACGUAGGUAACCUGCCCAUGUGCCCGGGAUAACUUCUGGAAACGGAUGCUAAAACCGGAUAGGUAGCAGACAAGCAUUUGACUGCUAUUAAAGUGGCUAAGGCCAUGAACAUGGAUGGACCUGCGGUGCAUUAGCUAGUUGGUGAGGUAACGGCCCACCAAGGCGACGAUGCAUAGCCGGCCUGAGAGGGCGGACGGCCACAUUGGGACUGAGACACGGCCCAAACUCCUACGGGAGGCAGCAGUAGGGAAUUUUCGUCAAUGGGGGGAACCCUGAACGAGCAAUGCCGCGUGAGUGAGGAAGGUCUUCGGAUCGUAAAGCUCUGUUGUAAGAGAAAAACGGCACUCAUAGGGAAUGAUGAGUGAGUGAUGGUAUCUUACCAGAAAGUCACGGCUAACUACGUGCCAGCAGCCGCGGUAAUACGUAGGUGGCGAGCGUUAUCCGGAAUGAUUGGGCGUAAAGGGUGCGUAGGUGGCAGAUCAAGUCUGGAGUAAAAGGUAUGGGCUCAACCCGUACUUGCUCUGGAAACUGAUCAGCUAGAGAACAGAAGAGGACGGCGGAACUCCAUGUGUAGCGGUAAAAUGCGUAGAUAUAUGGAAGAACACCGGUGGCGAAGGCGGCCGUCUGGUCUGGAUUCUGACACUGAAGCACGAAAGCGUGGGGAGCAAAUAGGAUUAGAUACCCUAGUAGUCCACGCCGUAAACGAUGAGAACUAGGUGUUGGGGGAAUAACUCAGUGCCGCAGUUAACGCAAUAAGUUCUCCGCCUGGGGAGUAUGCACGCAAGU